RNAcentral lists this ribosomal RNA (486 nucleotides) under uncultured bacterium. RNAcentral's name for it is "partial 16S ribosomal RNA". It matches the Rfam family "Bacterial small subunit ribosomal RNA", at positions 30 to 507 of the family's 1533-position model. The record is from RNAcentral.
AUUGAACGCUGGCGGCAUGCCUUACACAUGCAAGUCGAACGGCAGCACGGGUGCUUGCACCUGGUGGCGAGUGGCGAACGGGUGAGUAAUACAUCGGAACAUGUCCUGUAGUGGGGGAUAGCCCGGAGAAAGCCGGAUUAAUACUGCAUACGAUCCACGGAUGAAAGCGGGGGACAUUCGGGCCUCGCGCUAUCGGGUUGGCCGAUGGCUGAUUAGCUAGUUGGUGGGGUAAAGGCCUACCAAGGCGACGAUCAGUAGCUGGUCUGAGAGGACGACCAGCCACACUGGGACUGAGACACGGCCCAGACUCCUACGGGAGGCAGCAGUGGGGAAUUUUGGACAAUGGGCGAAAGCCUGAUCCAGCAAUGCCGCGUGUGUGAAGAAGGCCUUCGGGUUGUAAAGCACUUUUGUCCGGAAAGAAAUCCUUGACUCUAAUACAGUCGGGUGAUGACGGUACCGGAAGAAUAAGCACCGGCUAACUACGUG